Molecule: ribosomal RNA, 420 nt
Filed under: bacterium
Lineage: Bacteria
Description: partial 16S ribosomal RNA
Rfam family: Bacterial small subunit ribosomal RNA
Source: RNAcentral
UGGGGGAUAUUGCACAAUGGGCGAAAGCCUGAUGCAGCGACGCCGCGUGGGGGAUGAAGGCUUUCGGGUUGUAAACCUCUUUCGCUAUCGAACAAGGCCCGCUUAGGGUGGGUUGAGGGUAGGCGGAGAAGAAGCGCCGGCUAACUACGUGCCAGCAGCCGCGGUAAUACGUAGGGCGCGAGCGUUGUCCGGAAUUAUUGGGCGUAAAGGGCUUGUAGGCGGCUUGUUGCGCCUGCUGUGAAAACGCGGGGCUUAACUUCGCGCGUGCAGUGGGUACGGGCGAGCUUGAGUGUGGUAGGGAUGACUGGAAUUCCAGGUGUAGCGGUGGAAUGCGCAGAUAUCUGGAGGAACACCGAUGGCGAAGGCAGGUCACUGGGCCAUUACUGACGCUGAGGAGCGAAAGCAUGGGUAGCGAACAGG